Molecule: ribosomal RNA, 1515 nt
Filed under: Priacma serrata
Lineage: Eukaryota; Metazoa; Arthropoda; Insecta; Coleoptera; Cupedidae
Description: bacterial SSU rRNA
Rfam family: Bacterial small subunit ribosomal RNA
Source: RNAcentral
UGAGUUUGAUCCUAGCUCAGGAUAAACGCUAGCGGCGGGCUUAACACAUGCAAGUCGUGGGGCAGCAUUAAGUUCUACUUAGAUGGCGACCGGCGAACGGGUGAGUAACACGUACGUAAUCUACAUUUUGUUGAGGGAUAGCUUAGAGAAAUUUAAAUUAAUACCUCAUGAUAUGUUUUUUUCGCAUGAAGAUUACAUUAAAGCAUUUUUAUAAUGCGACAAAAUAUGAGCGUGCGCCUGAUUAGUUUGUUGGUGAGGUAAAUGCUUACCAAGACUAUGAUCAGUAGGGGACCUGAGAGGGUGUACCCCCACAUUGGCACUGAAACACGGGCCAAACUCCUACGGGAGGCAGCAGUGAGGAAUAUUGGUCAAUGGAGGAAACUCUGAACCAGCUACGCCGCGUGCAGGAUUACGGCUUUAACAAGUCUUAAACUGCUUUUGUAUAGGAAUAAAAAAUUCUUUUUAGAAUAUAUUGAAUGUACUAUACGAAUAAGCAUCGGCUAACUCCGUGCCAGCAGCCGCGGUAAUACGGGGGAUGCAAGCGUUAUCCGGAUUUAUUGGGUUUAUAGGGUGCGUAGGCGGUAUAAUAAGUCAAUAGUGAAAUCUUACAGCUUAACUGUAAAACUGCUACUGAUACUAUUAUGCUAGAGUUAGGCGGGAGUAAUCGGAAUAUGUGGUGUAGCGGUAAAAUGCUUAGAUAUCACAUAGAACACCAAUAGCGAAGGCAGAUUACUAUACCUUAACUGACGCUGAGGCACGAAAGCGUGGGGAGCAAACAGGAUUAGAUACCCUGGUAGUCCACGCUGUAAACUAUGAUCACUAAUUAUUGGGUCUUUAGUAUUCAGUGAUUUAGCGAAAGCGAUAAGUGAUCCACCUGGGGAGUACGGUCGCAAGACUGAAACUCAAAGGAAUUGACGGGGGCCCGCACAAGCGGUGGAGCACGUGGUUUAAUUCGAUGGUACGCGAGGAACCUUACCAAGGCUUUAAGGUACUUCGAAUAAUCUAGAAACAGGUUAGUCUUAGGACGGGGUACUAGGUGCUGCAUGGUUGUCGUCAGCUCGUGCCGUGAGGUGUAAGGUUAAGUCCUUUAACGAGCGCAACCCUUAUUGUUAGUUGCCAGCGAGUAAUGUCGGGAACUCUAACAAGACUGCCGAUGUAAAUCGUGAGGAAGGAGAGGAUGACGUCAAAUCAUCACGGCCUUUAUGUCUUGGGCCACACACGUGCUACAAUGGUUAGUACAAAAAGUUGCCACUGAGUGAUCAGGAGCUAAUCUUAUAAAACUAAUCUUAGUUCGGAUUGGAGUCUGCAACUCGACUCUAUGAAGUUGGAAUCGCUAGUAAUCGCGUAUCAGCCAUGACGCGGUGAAUAUGUUCUCGGGCCUUGUACACACCGCCCGUCAAGCCAUGGAAGUUGGGGGUAUCUGAAGUCAGAUGAUGUUUUUCAUUAUCUGCCUAAGAUAAAUUCGAUAACUGGGGCUAAGUCGUAACAAGGUAGCCGUAUCGGAAGGUGCGGCUG